AUCAGGAUGGCCGAGCGGUCUAAGGCGCUGCGUUCAGGUCGCAGUCCAGUACUCUGGGUGAGGGUUCGAAUCCGUCUUCUGACA
Non-coding RNA from Daphnia pulex (common water flea), 84 nucleotides. NCBI's taxonomy places the organism in Eukaryota, Metazoa, Arthropoda, Branchiopoda, Diplostraca, Daphniidae. The record is from Rfam.